Molecule: long non-coding RNA, 1368 nt
Organism: Peromyscus eremicus (cactus mouse)
Lineage: Eukaryota; Metazoa; Chordata; Mammalia; Rodentia; Cricetidae
Exons: 6
Source: RefSeq, a predicted model, not a curated record
GUGAGAAUUGCUUCUUGUCCCUCAGAUUCUAUGUUACCUGUCCUCGGUCCACUUGGAAUCUCUUGAGAGAGCCGAGUCCUGUGUGUUCCUAGGCCCUGCCACAGGGACCUGGACGCCCUGCCUGUUGAGGCAAGGUUGUGGAUGUCCCGGGCCUUAUGGUCCCUGCUUCGCAUGAUGUGGGGCAGCAUCCAUCUGAACGCUCAUCACUACCAAGGCCAAGGUUUUGGAAGGAAGUCUUUCUUCUCCCAUCUUAGUAUUAGACCAUCGGAUUUGGGACACGGGACUAAGGCCGCUGACUCUGCAUCCCUUACAAGCAUACACAGCUGCCUGCCCUUUUGCCUCGUGUCCAUCCUGGAGCGGCCUUCUGCAAGAUUCUAUGUUACCUGUCCUCGGUCCACUUGGAAUCUCUUGAGAGAGCCGAGUCCUGUGUGUUCCUAGGCCCUGCCACAGGGACCUGGACGGCCUGCCUGUUGAGGCGGAUGUCCCUGGCCCCAGUGUUCCCUGCUUUGGAUGAUGUGGGGCAGCAUUCACUUGAAUGCACUUCACCAAGGAGGCCAAGGUUUUGGAAGGAAGCCCUUCUCCACUCCCAUCUCAAUAUUAGACCAUCGGAGCAUGGGACAGGAAGCUCUGGCCCCCCACCCUGGAGUCCUGAUCAGUGUACACAGCUGCCUGUCCCUUUCCCUUGUGUCCAUCCGGGAGCAGUCUUCUGCCAGGUGGGAACCCGGUGCUGGGACUAGGGUCCCAUUGAGUUGGGCGAUAGUCUCCCUUGGUGUCACAACUUCCCGUGUGCUCUUGGUUCUGGGACACCACCAUCCCACUGCUCUAGCAUGUCGGGGGUCAACCUGGGAGGACCUUCUUUGCUCGCCGCCUUGACCUGGAAGCUUGGGUCAGCAGACCUAAGGCCAUCCUGGCAGCUGUACUGCUCACCCUGAAAAUAUUUAUACAAAGAUCAAGAUCGUUAACCAUAAAAAGUUCACAUUUUAACUUACUGGAAUUCAAGACCAGACGCUUGUAUAUGCAAGAUAUACUGUCUGAUUUUUGGUUUUGUUUGUCAAGUUGGGAAGAAGGAACAUUUGUUUAAGAACUGCCUUUAUUAGCUAGCCUUUGGGCAUGUGUGUGGGACAUCUUCUUGACUGCUGAUUGAUAGAGGAAAGGUCUAGCCCACUGUGAGUGGUCCCUUGCCUAGGUAGGUGGCCAUAGGUUAUAUAAGAAAGGUAGCAUAGUAAGGCAGAGCAGAAGCCAGCAAGCAACAUCCAUUCAUGAUUUCUGCUUCAGAUUCGGCCUCCAGAUUUCUGUGCUCAAGUUCCUGCCUUGACUUCCUUCCACAGUGGACUGUCACCUGUAAGCCAAAUAAACCCUUUCCCAGAA